This is a long non-coding RNA of Ictalurus punctatus (channel catfish), 2694 nucleotides long. Lineage: Eukaryota; Metazoa; Chordata; Actinopteri; Siluriformes; Ictaluridae. The record is from Ensembl.
UUAAUAUGAAGUCUGUGUGUUGAACUAGUCCACUGUUCACUAAAGGAGACCCGAGUGUAGAACCGCACGUGGUAAUCGCAGUCCCGAGGCCGUCGCAGCGACCGUCGUCCCAGCGACCACGGCGAGAUAAAAAGGAAUUACUCCUCGUCAAAUUGUGUGCACUCGAAAAGAUAAGACAACGCAAACAAUAUUUACAACAACACAGAAAACAUCUCGAGACCGGACUCGAGUCCCGCAGCUCUAGAAGUCGAUAUCAAAAUAAAAUAGGAACGCCGUUAUCUUCACUGUCCAAAUGAACUAUGAAGACUAGUCGGGGCUGUGAAAAAAAUACAGCAAGGCAGACAGUCAAUAAAGCAACUACAUUUAUUUUGUAGGUGUGAAAAUAUUUCAGACAAGAUCAAACCGAUUCAAUGGUCAUCUGCACAAGGUGAUGGAAAAAAAGCUUUUUACCCCCCUAUGUUUUAACAGGCCACUGGCACUGAGUAGAGGUGUGUGCACGAUCGCCUUUAAAUUCCUAUUCCCGGGACCGUCCUGAAACACCUCCAGGUACUGUACUGAACUGACUCCAGGUACUGUACUGAACUGACUCCAGGUACUGUACUGAAACACCUCCUGGAUGCUGCUGUAGACAUCCUCCUGCCAUCAUUAAACUAUAAGGCGUUUCUGUGACGUGCUGCGCUCCCAGUUAGAGGAGAUGACCCGUUGAGUGGUCUUAAUAAAACAAAACAAAACCUCUAAUACAAACGCAAGACUCUUCAUCGAUCUUCGUUUCCUUUUCUAAAACAUUUACAGCGUCUAGCAUUGAAGCGCUCACUGCAGACUCACCACCUCCGGGUAAUAUCCCCAGACCCCGAGCACUGGGGAAGAUCAGUGAAGGCCUCGUUCAUAAUUGAUGGUGGAACCAGAGGAGCUGUUUUUCAGGAUUAUUACGAGAGCCGAGUCCAUUCCCACGUGUGCGAAGAGAGAAAUUCACGGCUCAAAGUUUCAUUCAACAUUACACACACAUCUAAGAGCUGAACCAGGCCCUGGGGAGUGUUCUUUAUUGAAACGCUAAAGGCCUUGAGAAGAUUAUUUUGUGGACCAGGACAGGUGCAUCAAACGCCGAACAGAAUAAUAAUCGUCCUCCAGCAGGGUUGUGUCUAUAAAACAGCAGUGCCGCGUCGCAUCGCCAUUCUGCUCACCGUUGUCGCUGUAGCUGUUUAAAAAAGGACAAGUAACGCUCACGAUCAACGAGCGGAUAGAUUUUCUUUGACGUGACUCACAUGGAGCUUAAUUUGCAUUUAAACGUGUGUCGCGUGCCCUCGCUCGUCCCCUCGCGGAUGAACUAUUGAGCGUAAGGUACCGCGAGUUUAUAAUAGUGGCGAUAAGUACACAUAUCGUCGAGUUCACACUUUGUCAGACGAAGUUAAAAUACAACACGGAUUGGUUGAGCGGUUUCGGAAAAAAAAACAACAUAAAGAAACCUUCGAAGAAGCUGCGUUUAACGUAGAUCGCAGCGGAGUUACGAAAUGCAAGUUUACGCUAACUAUCGGCGACAAGACUGACCAUCACUGUGGGUAAAUAAAUCAAAACAAAUCUGCAGCAGUAAAACAUGAUUAGUCGUGUAGUCAAAUUGUGACGUCGCCGCGUACAUGGUCCGAAAAAGAGCGCAGAAAAGAAAAGAAAAGAGGGGAAAAGCCUGACCUACAGUUACCACACUCCCGAAGAUCGCUGUCUGGAAGAAAAGCCAUUCUAGCCAGAGCUGUUAUGAGAACUCUUCCGUAACAUGACCAAUCAAACGGGCUGCACUAUUUCUAGCUCCGCCCCCCACGUCCCUGUUCGGCUUUUCAGCACUUGAUUACAGUAGAUCUCACUAAACGAUGCAAAUAACAGUGAAGAGAGUUUUACCUUGUCAUGUCAUAGUAAUAUUUGUGAUACUUUUUAGUCUUUCUCAUCGGUGCGUAAAAUCUCCCUCGGGUAUAUUGUAUUUAACCAUAGUCUAAGGUACAUGGUGAAUUAUUUAAUGUUUCAUCUGAGCUUUUUUAGUAGCGACGUAACGAGUAUGAAUACACCGUUGGAGAAUGAGCAGGUAAUCGUGUUCUAAACUGAUACAAACACUCAGUACGUUUACAUGGACCACGAUAAUCCGAUAUUAAUCCGAUUGAGACGAUAUUCUGAUUGAGAAACUAGCAUGUGAACAGAGAUUACUGACGACCUUAAUCUGAUUAAAGUCACACUCGGAGUAAACACAGAUGGAAUUACGUCAUGUGGCGUAUUCCUGUUUUAUUCACGUUAUCGACGUGCGUUACAGACGCGUACACGCCUUAAUCACACUAUUAACGUCGUGCGAGAGUUUUCACCGUAUUGUGCGACAGGACACGUACACACACGGCAGCGCUCGAGCGUUUUACGGCGAACAAGAGAACGCGUCCCAAACCGCGUACUUACGCGCGGUGUAGUAGGCGAGAUGCAUGUAUUUAUGUAAGUACGCGGUUCGGGACGCAGCCCACGGCUUCAAUCGGUCGUCUGUUUGCACGUACAGCGCGACUAAUAAUCAACCGCACUUGAAGCUUUCAUAAAAAAAUUAUAAAUGAAACACCCGAAACUGUAUAUGGUACCAUAACGAAGAUGAACUGUAUGUCGAUAGGUGAAAUUCUGGAGGGAUGACGGACAUAUAUGUAUAUUUAAUAAUAAUAAUAAUAAUAAUAAUAAUAA